Molecule: long non-coding RNA, 600 nt
Organism: Pseudopipra pipra
Lineage: Eukaryota; Metazoa; Chordata; Aves; Passeriformes; Pipridae
Exons: 4
Source: RefSeq, a predicted model, not a curated record
UCAGUAGACCUUAGUGGUCAUACUAGUCAGUCCAAUGACCUUCUCAUAUUGUCAGAAACCUCCUUUCAACUGUCUAAAAGCAAAGGACUAAAGAGUAGAAAACUGGGGCAAAUAUGUAACGAUACUUUCUCAUGUUACUUUUCUUCUUCCAGCAAUCUGCAUCUGAAGGACUCACUGAGCCACAAGCAAUGCUUUGUUUAACUCUGACAUGAGCAUCGACUCAACUUGCAGGAGGAUUGUUCCAUGAUGUUACUGGACACUGAGAUGAGGCUGACUGGCUGGUAGCUCCCAUGGUCCUCCUUAUUAUCCUCUUUAAAAAUGGAUGCUGAUAAUUGGUGCUGGCGUUGCUGGGCUGACUGCAGCAAUAGCUGCCAAAGCAAUGGGAGUUACUGUCAAGGGAUUUGACACCAGAACAGUGCUGUCCUAAGUGGUGAUAUACCUAAGAGGAUGAGACCAUUUCCAAAAUGCAUGAAGAUGUAAUCAACAUUAACUUUUUUUUCUUUCAUUAUCUCUUCAGGGGUCAUAUUUUCAACUCAUUUAUUUAGUUCUGAGUACAUUUUACUUUUUGAAUAGAAAGUUAUAAUUACAUAAUGAUCUCAU